GAUGAAGAACGCAGCGAAAUGCGAUAAGUAAUGUGAAUUGCAGAAUUCAGUGAAUCAUCGAAUCUUUGAACGCACAUUGCGCCCGCCAGUAUUCUGGCGGGCAUGCCUGUUCGAGCGUCAUUUCAACCAUCAAGCCCCAGGCUUGUGUUGGAGCCCUGCGGCUGCCGCAGCCUCCCAAAACCAGUGGCGGGCUCGCUAUCACACCGAGUGCAGUAGUUUACUCUUCGCUCAGGUCGUGUGGCGGGUGCUAGCCGUAAAACCCCCAACUUCUCAAGGUUGACCUCGGAUCAGGUAGGAAUACCCGCUGAACUUAAGCAUAUCAAUAAGCGGACGA
RNAcentral lists this unclassified non-coding RNA (334 nucleotides) under soil metagenome. Its description in RNAcentral is "partial contains 5.8S ribosomal RNA, internal transcribed spacer 2, and large subunit ribosomal RNA". The stretch from base 1 to 120 matches the Rfam family "5.8S ribosomal RNA", at positions 35 to 154 of the family's 154-position model. The record is from RNAcentral.